AUGUCACUCAAACAAAUCGUUGGGCACAAACUGCUCAACGAUGUAAUCCGUCCACUGAAGAAGGGAGACGGGCGUAGCGCGUGGAAUGUUCUCAUCGUUGACACCCUAGCCAUGCGGAUGUUGUCAUCCUGCUGCAAAAUGCACAAUAUUAUGGAAGAAGGAAUUACAAUUGUGGAAGAUCUAAACAAAAGGAGAGAGCCCCUUCCAACACUUGAAGCCAUUUAUCUGAUUGCUCCAACUGCUGAAUCGGUUAGUUUUAAUCUCCAAAAGUCGCUUGUCUAAACCAAGAUGUUUUGCAGAUAGACAAGCUGAUUCAAGAUUAUUGCGCCAGAAAUUUGUACAAAUGCGCUCAUGUCUUUUUCACCGAAGCGUGUUCGGAUCAGCUCUUCUCAACAUUAUCCAAAAGUGCAGCUGCUCGUUUCAUCAAAACUCUGAAGGAGAUUAACAUAGCUUUCACUCCAUACGAAAGCCAGGUUUUCAAUUUGGACUCUCCUGAUACAUUUUUCUUAUACUACAACGCCCAAAAACAAGGUGGUCUGACAUCGAACCUUGAGAGAAUUGCUGAACAAAUCGCAACGGUGUGCGCAACACUUGGAGAAUAUCCAUCAUUGAGGUACCGUGCUGACUUUGAGAGAAAUGUUGAGCUCGGCCACCUUGUUGAGCAAAAACUCGACGCUUACAAGGCUGACGAUCCAUCUAUGGGUGAGGGAGCCGACAAGGCACGCAGUCAGUUGAUCAUCAUCGACAGAGGUUACGAUGCCAUCACUCCACUUCUCCAUGAACUUACUCUUCAAGCAAUGUGCUACGACCUUUUGGGCAUUGAGAAUGACGUUUACAAGUACGAAACGGGAGGAAGCGAUGAAAACUUGGAGAAAGAGGUUCUGCUCGAUGAGAAUGAUGAUUUAUGGGUUGAAAUGAGGCACAAACAUAUUGCCGUUGUUUCACAAGAAGUCACAAAGAACUUGAAAAAGUUCAGUGAGAGCAAGGGCAACAAGGGAACGAUGGACUCCAAAUCGAUCAAGGAUCUAUCGAUGCUCAUCAAAAGAAUGCCACAGCACAAGAAAGAGUUGAACAAGUUUAGCACUCACAUCAGUCUUGCUGAGGAAUGCAUGAAACAGUAUCAACAAGGAGUUGACAAGUUGUGUAAGGUUGAACAAGAUUUGAGUACCGGAAUCGACGCAGAAGGAGAACGAGUCAGAGAUGCAAUGAAGUUGAUGGUGCCACUUUUGAUUGACCCAGCCGUGCGGUGUGAAGACCGCCUCAGAUUGAUUCUGUUGUACAUUCUUUCCAAGAAUGGAAUUACUGAUGAAAACUUGAAUAAACUUUUACAACACGCUAAUAUCUCCAUGGCUGAUAAGGAAACAAUCACCAACGCUGCUUACUUGGGAUUGAAUAUUGUUACCGAUACCGGCCGCAAGAAGACGUGGACCCCAACCAAAAAGGAAAGACCACACGAGCAAGUUUACCAAUCUUCCCGCUGGGUUCCAGUUAUCAAGGAUAUUAUUGAAGAUGCUAUUGACGAGCGUUUGGACACAAAACAUUUCCCAUUCCUUGCUGGACGACAAGUUAACCAAGGAUACAGAGCCCCUGCAUCUGCUAGAUAUGGUCAGUGGCACAAGGAACGAGGACAACAAUCCAACUAUCGCAGUGGACCACGACUGAUUAUCUACAUUAUUGGAGGUGUCACCUUCUCCGAAAUGCGAGCUUGUUAUGAAGUGACCGCUGCCCGAAAACCGUGGGAAGUCGUCAUUGGGUCCGACAGAAUCAUCACUCCGGAUAAGUUCCUGACCAACUUGCGUGACCUGAACAAACCGCGUGACAUAUGA
This 1826-nucleotide unclassified non-coding RNA is filed under the name Caenorhabditis elegans. RNAcentral describes it as "Non-coding transcript of protein-coding gene unc-18". The record is from RNAcentral. Lineage: Eukaryota; Metazoa; Nematoda; Chromadorea; Rhabditida; Rhabditidae.